RNAcentral lists this ribosomal RNA (252 nucleotides) under uncultured prokaryote. RNAcentral describes it as "partial 16S ribosomal RNA". It matches the Rfam family "Archaeal small subunit ribosomal RNA", at positions 476 to 728 of the family's 1478-position model. The record is from RNAcentral.
CCCGCAGCACAAGUGGUGGUCAUUAUUAUUGGGCCUAAAGCGUCCGUAGCUGGCUUGUUAGAUGCCUGGGUAAAUCGAUGCGCUCAACGUAUCGAACUCCGGGUAGACCGGCAAGCUUGGGACCGGGAGAGGCGUGAGCUACUCGAGGGGUAGGGGUAAAAUCCUGUAAUCCUUCGGGGAGGACCAGUGGCGAAGGCGUCACGCUAGAACGGCUCCGACAGUGAGGGACGAAGCCCUGGGGCGCAAACCGGA